GCUCGUAGUUGGAUCUCGGGUGCAGGCUUGCGGUCCGCCUCGCGGCGGUCACUGCUCGUCCUAGCAGCCUAGCUUCGGUGUGUCCCUUGGUGCUCUUGACCGAGUGUCUCGGGUGGCCGGAACGUUUACUUUGAUGAAAUUAGAGUGUUCAGAGCGCGGGCGUUUCGCCCGUAUAAUGGUGCAUGGAAUGAUAGAAUAGGACCUCGGUUCUAUUUUGUUGGUUUUCGGAACCAGAGGUAAUGAUCAAGAGGGACAGACGGGGGCAUUCGUAUUGCAGCGUUAGAGGUGAAAUUCUUGGAUCGUUGCAAGACGGACGACAGCGAAAGCAUUUGCCAAGAAUGUUUUCCUUAAUCAAGAACGAAAGUCAGAGGCUCGAAGACGAUCAGAUACCGUCGUAGUUCUGACCAUAAACCAUGCCAACUGGCAAUCCGCCGGAGUUACUACAAUGACUCGGCGAGCAGCCCCCGGGAAACCAAAGUUUCUGGGUUCCGGGGGGAGUAUGGUUGCAAAGCUGAAACUUAAAGGAAUUGACGGAAGGGCACCACCAGGAGUGGAGCCUGUGGCUUAAUUUGACUCAACACGGGAAACCUCACCCGGCCCGGACACCGUUAGGAUUGACAGAUUGAGAGCUCUUUCUUGAUUCGGUGGGUGGUGGUGCAUGGCCGUUCUUAGUUGGUGGAGCGAUUUGUCUGGUUAAUUCCGAUAACGAACGAGACUCUAGCCUACUAAAUAGUUCGAGGAUAUAUACAUAUACCUCGCAAACUUCUUAGAGGGACAGGUGGCGUAUAGCCACACGAGAUUGAGCAAUAACAGGUCUGUGAUGCCCUUAGAUGUUCGGGGCCGCACACGCGCUACAUUGAAUGGAUCAACGUGCGUCUAGCCUUGCCCGAAAGGGCUGGGAAACCCGUUGAACCCCAUUCGUGAUAGGGAUUGGGGCUUGCAAUUAUUUCCCAUGAACGAGGAAUUCCUAGUAAGCGCGAGUCAUCAGCUCGCGUUGAUUGCGUCCCUGCCCUUUGUACACACCGCCCGUCGCUACUACCGAUCGUUCCAGUUAAUGAACGCCUCGGAUUGGUCCCGUAAGCGGGGAAACCUGCUCGCGGCGUGCCGAGAAGAAGUGUAAGUUAUCUGGGAUAGAGGUCGUAAAAGUCGUAACAAGGUAUCC
Molecule: ribosomal RNA, 1162 nt
Filed under: Platomysia rugata
Lineage: Eukaryota; Metazoa; Mollusca; Bivalvia; Galeommatida; Lasaeidae
Description: SSU rRNA
Rfam family: Eukaryotic small subunit ribosomal RNA
Source: RNAcentral